RNAcentral lists this ribosomal RNA (254 nucleotides) under uncultured bacterium. RNAcentral's name for it is "partial 16S ribosomal RNA". It matches the Rfam family "Bacterial small subunit ribosomal RNA", at positions 524 to 776 of the family's 1533-position model. The record is from RNAcentral.
UACGGGGGGAGCAAGCGUUGUUCGGAUUUACUGGGCGUAAAGGGCGCGUAGGCGGCCACGACAAGUCACUUGUGAAAUCUCCGGGCUUAACUCGGAACGGUCAAGUGAUACUGUCGGGCUAGAGUGCAGAAGGGGCAACUGGAAUUCUCGGUGUAGCGGUGAAAUGCGUAGAUAUCAAGAGGAACACCUGAGGUGAAGACGGGUUGCUGGGCUGAUACUGACGCUGAGGCGCGAAAGCUAGGGUAGCAAACGGG